RNAcentral lists this ribosomal RNA (440 nucleotides) under uncultured bacterium. Its description in RNAcentral is "bacterial SSU rRNA". It matches the Rfam family "Bacterial small subunit ribosomal RNA", at positions 958 to 1398 of the family's 1533-position model. The record is from RNAcentral.
AACGCGAAGAACCUUACCCAGGUUUGAAAUAUAGGAGACCGCGCCAGAGACGGCGCUUCCCGCAAGGGCUGCUAUGUAGGUGCUGCAUGGCUGUCGUCAGCUCGUGCCGUGAGGUGUUUGGUUAAGUCCAGCAACGAGCGCAACCCUUAUCAUUAGUUGCCAACACGCGAGGUGGGGACUCUAGUGAGACUGCCUAGGUUAACUAGGAGGAAGGUGAGGAUGACGUCAAGUCCGCAUGGCCUUUAUGUCCAGGGCUACACACGUGCUACAAUGGUCGGUACAGAAGGCAGCGAAGCCGCGAGGUGGAGCAAAUCCUAUAAAACCGAUCUCAGUUCAGAUUGCAUUCUGCAACUCGGAUGCAUGAAGUUGGAAUUGCUAGUAAUGGCGUGUCAGCAACAACGCCGUGAAUACGUUCCCGGGCCUUGUACACACCGGUACUA